UGAUCGUCUUCCUGACUCUCUGCUGCUUCUGAUUUUCAAUAAGAUCGGAGACGUGAAGGCUCUUGGACGUUGCUGUGCAGUUUCUCGCAGAUUCCACUCGAUCGUGUCUCAGGUUGAUAACGUUGUUGUGCGAGUUGAUUGUGUGAUAUCUGAUGAUGAUUUCUCGUCCACCGCUUCCUCCUCAGAUAAGUCUCGCAGCGCCUUUUCCAAUUUGUUUCGUAUGGUUCUUGGAGGCAUUGUUAAGCCCCUUCAAGCGUUGGGUCAGUUCUUGGGCCCUAAACGUGUUACUUCCUCUGGGUUGGGUUCUGGUUCGUCGUCUUUGUCGACUUCUUCGCUUGCGGUUGGGAGGGAAGAGGACGGAGAGAGUGGUCAAAGUGGUGUGACUCAUCACUCGCCUACUCAAGUUUUAAAGAAUUUUAAUGAGAUACGGUUCCUUAGGAUCGAGCUUCCUAGUGGCGAAUUGGGUAUUGAUGAUGGAAUCUUGUUGAAAUGGCGAGCUGAUUUUGGGUCAACUUUGGAUAAUUGUGUGAUCUUGGGUGCUGCAUCGGUGACUCAUGCUGGAUCCUUCAAGCACAUUCAAGAGAGUGGCACUGAUGGGUUCUGCUCUGCCAAUGGUGCAGCAGCUGACGACAGCGGGAGCAUACCCGAAUCAUUUUAUACAAAUGGAGGGCUAAAACUGAGAGUAGUUUGGACAAUUAGCUCCUUGAUUGCGGCUUCAGCUAGACAUUAUUUAUUGCAGCCGAUAAUUGCGGAGCAUAAAACUCUGGAUAAUUUGGUUCUGACUGAUGCAGAUGGACAAGGCAUGUUGUGUAUGAACAAGGAUCAGCUUGAGGAGUUGAGAGUGAAGCCGUUAUCGGCUUCAACUGCAUCAAAGAGAACUCUUGUUCCAGCCCUGAAUAUGAGGCUUUGGUAUGCGCCUCACUUGGAAUUGCCCGGUGGGAUUAUUCUGAAGGGGGCAACACUUGUUGCGAUUCGUCCGAGCGAGCAGUCAAUGACAAAGAAAGAGGUAUCUGAUGGGUCAUGGCUUUCAAACGCUUUUGAGGAACCUUAUGGAAUCGCAGCAAAGAUACUGGUGAAAAGGCGAACUUACUGUCUUGAGAUGAAUUCUUUCUGAUAACUUCAACUGAAUCCGAGAUAAAGAGAAGAUUGGUAGUGGGGGGAGUGCAUGUUUUUGGAAGUAGGAUGCUGGAAACACCUUGUUUCAUGCAUCACCAAAUUAUCAUGUCCGAGGAAGCCUAGUUACAAUCAAAUUGCAGCAUGCUCAGCUACCCAUGGUUGAUUUUAGCUUGAAGAAUGGGCGAAUUCUGCUUGAAGAAGUGUGUUUGUAGGUUGUAGCAUUCUUGGAAAUCACUCGAACGUCUGAUAAGAUGUCAGAGAAAGAACUUUUGAGGAAAUUGGGCUUUUCUUGGGAAUGCUUCUGGGGCUCUGAAAGAGUGGAUUUAUCUGCUAUUCUAAAUGAAUUAAUGAUUGGUUUGAACCAUUUAAAUUUGAGAAUUUAGGUCAAUCUGGUUAUAAUUAAUAGUUAAGUGUGGACUUUGUGGAGCACAUGGACAGUCUUCAGAUGUGGAAAAUUUGGAAGGGCACUGCGGAGUUUAGAAUGGUUUAUUGCAGAGUGACUAUCUUUUUCUUUAUCAAGGAAACAGCAUAUACCCCGUUAGUUUUUCCUAUUUUAAUUUAUCUUCUUUCUUUCUGUGAGGUGAUAUAUAUCUUAAUCAUUUGAGGUAUAGGUGUAUUCCUUCUAUUUAUUGUUUGUCGUGCUAGUGUCAUAUGGGUCAAAAUCAUAUUUAUAAAUGCAAAUUCGUAGUGUGAACAA
Molecule: RNA transcript, 1813 nt
Organism: Momordica charantia (bitter melon)
Lineage: Eukaryota; Viridiplantae; Streptophyta; Magnoliopsida; Cucurbitales; Cucurbitaceae
Gene name: F-box protein At5g46170
Source: RefSeq, a predicted model, not a curated record